Molecule: ribosomal RNA, 301 nt
Filed under: uncultured bacterium
Lineage: Bacteria
Description: partial 16S ribosomal RNA
Rfam family: Bacterial small subunit ribosomal RNA
Source: RNAcentral
CAGUCGCCACGGUAAUACGGAGGGUGCGAGUGUUAAUCGGAAUAACUGGGCGUAAAGGGCACGCAGGCGGUGUCUUAAGUGAGGUGUGAAAGCCCCGGGCUUAACCUGGGAAUUGCAUUUCAUACUGGGUCGCUAGAGUACUUUAGGGAGGGGUAGAAUUCCACGUGUAGCGGUGAAAUGCGUAGAGAUGUGGAGGAAUACCGAAGGCGAAGGCAGCCCCUUGGGAAUGUACUGACGCUCAUGUGCGAAAGCGUGGGGAGCAAACAGGAUUAGAUACCCCUGUAGUCCCUGUCUCUUAUAC